Molecule: ribosomal RNA, 403 nt
Filed under: uncultured bacterium
Lineage: Bacteria
Description: partial 16S ribosomal RNA
Rfam family: Bacterial small subunit ribosomal RNA
Source: RNAcentral
GACGAACGCUGGCGGCGUGCCUAAUACAUGCAAGUCGAACGCAGUGGGGACGGGUGAGUAACACGUGGGUAACCUCCCAUCAGAGGGGAUAACACUUGGAAACAGGUGCUAAACCGAUACUGAUGGAUGGACCCGCGGUGCAUUAGCUAGUUGGUGAGGUAACGGCUCACCAAGGCCACGAUGCAUAGCCGACCUGAGAGGGGGAUCGGCCCCACUUGGGCUGAGACACCGGCCAGGCUCCUACGGGAGGCAGUAGUUGUGAAUCUUCGGCCAUGGACGAAAGUCUUACCGAGGCACGGCGCGUGAGGGAAGAAGGUUUUCGGAUCGGAAAACCUCGUUGUUAGAGAAGCGGUAUCUAACCAGAAAGCCACGGCUAACUACGUGCCAGCCGCCGCGGUAAUUC